GGGGAAUAUUGGACAAUGGGGGGAACCCUGAUCCAGCCAUGCCGCGUGUGUGAAGAAGGCCUUUUGGUUGUAAAGCACUUUAAGCGAGGAGGAGGCUACCGAGAUUAAUACUCUUGGAUAGUGGACGUUACUCGCAGAAUAAGCACCGGCUAACUCUGUGCCAGCAGCCGCGGUAAUACAGAGGGUGCAAGCGUUAAUCGGAUUUACUGGGCGUAAAGCGCGCGUAGGUGGCCAAUUAAGUCAAAUGUGAAAUCCCCGAGCUUAACUUGGGAAUUGCAUUCGAUACUGGUUGGCUAGAGUAUGGGAGAGGAUGGUAGAAUUCCAGGUGUAGCGGUGAAAUGCGUAGAGAUCUGGAGGAAUACCGAUGGCGAAGGCAGCCAUCUGGCCUAAUACUGACACUGAGGUGCGAAAGCAUGGGGAGCAAACAGGAUUAGAUACCCUGGUAGUCCAUGCCGUAAACGAUGUCUACUAGCCGUUGGGGCCUUUGAGGCUUUAGUGGCGCAGCUAACGCGAUAAGUAGACCGCCUGGGGAGUACGGUCGCAUGACUA
Molecule: ribosomal RNA, 549 nt
Filed under: uncultured bacterium
Lineage: Bacteria
Description: bacterial SSU rRNA
Rfam family: Bacterial small subunit ribosomal RNA
Source: RNAcentral